CCUACGGGAGGCUGCAGUGGGGAAUCUUGCGCAAUGGGCGAAAGCCUGACGCAGCAACGCCGCGUGCGGGAUGAAGGCCCUCGGGUUGUAAACCGCUUUCAGUGGGGACGAACCAAGACGGUACCCACAGAAGAAGCCCCGGCCAACUACGUGCCAGCAGCCGCGGUAACACGUAGGGGGCAAGCGUUGUCCGGAUUCAUUGGGCGUAAAGAGCUCGUAGGCGGUUCGGUAAGUCGGGUGUGAAACCUCCAGGCUCAACCUGGAGACGCCACCCGAUACUGCCGUGACUAGAGUCCAGUAGGGGAGCGUGGAAUUCCUGGUGUAGCGGUGAAAUGCGCAGAUAUCAGGAGGAACACCAGCGGCGAAGGCGGCGCUCUGGGCUGGCACUGACGCUGAGGAGCGAAAGCGUGGGGAGCGAACAGGAUUAGAUACCCUAGUAG
This 440-nucleotide ribosomal RNA is filed under the name uncultured bacterium. RNAcentral's name for it is "bacterial SSU rRNA". It matches the Rfam family "Bacterial small subunit ribosomal RNA", at positions 338 to 793 of the family's 1533-position model. The record is from RNAcentral.